GCGGAGGGAUCAUUACACAAAUAUGAAGGCGGGCUGGAAUCUCUCGGGGUUACAGCCUUGCUGAAUUAUUCACCCUUGUCUUUUGCGUACUUCUUGUUUCCUUGGUGGGUUCGCCCACCACUAGGACAAACAUAAACCUUUUGUAAUUGCAAUCAGCGUCAGUAACAAAUUAAUAAUUACAACUUUCAACAACGGAUCUCUUGGUUCUGGCAUCGAUGAAGAACGCAGCGAAAUGCGAUAAGUAGUGUGAAUUGCAGAAUUCAGUGAAUCAUCGAAUCUUUGAACGCACAUUGCGCCCUUUGGUAUUCCAAAGGGCAUGCCUGUUCGAGCGUCAUUUGUACCCUCAAGCUUUGCUUGGUGUUGGGCGUCUUGUCUCUAGCUUUGCUGGAGACUCGCCUUAAAGUAAUUGGCAGCCGGCCUACUGGUUUCGGAGCGCAGCACAAGUCGCACUCUCUAUCAGCAAAGGUCUAGCAUCCAUUAAGCCUUUUUUCAACUUUUGACCUCGGAUCAGGUAGGGAUACCCGCUGAACUUAAGCAU
Molecule: ribosomal RNA, 538 nt
Filed under: Alternaria alternata
Lineage: Eukaryota; Fungi; Ascomycota; Dothideomycetes; Pleosporales; Pleosporaceae
Description: eukaryotic LSU rRNA
Rfam family: 5.8S ribosomal RNA (bases 181-334)
Source: RNAcentral